Molecule: ribosomal RNA, 293 nt
Filed under: uncultured bacterium
Lineage: Bacteria
Description: partial 16S ribosomal RNA
Rfam family: Archaeal small subunit ribosomal RNA
Source: RNAcentral
GUGCCAGCAGCCGCGGUAAUACCGGCAGCCCGAGUGAUGGCCGAUAUUAUUGGGCCUAAAGCGUCCGUAGCUGGCUGCGCAAGUCCGUCGGGAAAUCCACUCGCUCAACGCGUGGGCGUCCGACGGAAACUGCACAGCUUGGGACCGGAAGGCUCGAAGGGUACGUUCGGGGUAGGAGUGAAAUCCCAUAAUCCCGCACGGACCACCGAUGGCGAAAGCGCUUCGAGAAAAGGGAUCCGACAGUGAGGGACGAAAGCCAGGAUCUCCAACCGGAUUAGAUACCCUAGUAGUCC